Molecule: long non-coding RNA, 6176 nt
Organism: Antechinus flavipes (yellow-footed antechinus)
Lineage: Eukaryota; Metazoa; Chordata; Mammalia; Dasyuromorphia; Dasyuridae
Exons: 2
Source: RefSeq, a predicted model, not a curated record
UGUAUCAUGCUCCUUUAAUUUGUGCUAUCUUUUUUGUCUUAAUUCCUAUUUCAAUUUGUAAUUCAUCUUAUCAUAUGAUGUGAAAUAUUGGUCUGUACCUAAUUUCUACAGGAUUACCUUACAGUUUUUCCAGCAGUUUUUGACAAAGAAUGAGUCUUCUCAUAAGUAUAUGGAUUUUUAAAAAUUUCUUUGACUCUAGACUACUAUGUCCAUAUGAUUCUCUGUGUUAUUUAUCUAAUACGUUCCACUGACAUGUCUGUUUUUUAAUGAUUUUUACCAAUUAUUUCCUAUUUUUUUCAUUAUUUCUUGUAAAAUUUUUAAUCUUUUUGUUUUUCCAGAUGAAUUUUAUUAUUUUUUUCUAGCUCUAUAAAAUAAUCUUUUGGUUGUUGGAUUGGUAUGACAUUGAAUAAAUUAGUAUUGUUGUUUGUAUUUAUUCAGCUUAUCCAUGAGCAAUUAACAUUUCACCAUUUGGCGCUGUCAUUAUUUCUGUAUUCCCUUUCUUCCUAUGUCUUGGUGGUUAGAUUCCUAGAUAUAUUCAGUAAUUAUGUUUACAUGAUAAUCUUUUUUAUUUUUUCAUGAUGAUUUUUUUUUUAUCAAAAUAUAUGGAAAUGCUGAUGGUUGUGGGUUCACUAUGUGUGGAAAAAGGGGAAGAAUUUACAGAUUAAGCACAUAUUGAUCAGAGACUAUUAGCUAAAGUAGAUCAAACCUAUAGACCUCAGUUUUGGCUUCUCCGAAGUCACGUGAUUUUAGAUAGGGCCUGGACCACAUUCCAUUGUCCAACAAAGGGAUUAUGUGGCCGAAGAGGCUGUAUAUCACCUUGUCUACUACCUUCCAUUGACCAACUAGGGGAACAGUAGACUUAUGUGACCAAUCACAACAUAUAGAUGGUCGGAUUUUGGAGGUUCUUUGUCUGAAAUGUAUAAAAGCUGUAAGCAUUUUCAAGGCUCUGGCCCUAUGCUGCUGUGAAAUUUGGCUCACGGACCACGAUGGGGGCCGCUUCUCAAGAUUGUAAUAAAUAAUUCUGCUAUCUAUGAGUGAUCUCUGUAGUAGUCAAAUUGGAUAGGUCUUUUUGUCCCAAACAAUUAAUGAUAGUAUUUGGAUAGCUUUAUUCUGUAUGAUCAUGCCUAUUUAAUACACAAAGAUAAUCUUUGUCUUAGUCAUCAAAAGAUUUCAUGCUAAAAUUGUGCCAAAUAAUGUUCAAAAAACCCUGUAAAAAACUAUUGUAAGGGACCCCUUCCAUCAUAGACCUGAAUAGAAAUUCAGAAAACCUCAGCAAUAGGAAAGCAGGCCCCUCAAGCAAAGCACUUUCAUAGUAGUGAGAGAGCAUAUGUAAUAUGCAACUCUGUGUAAGGAAGCAGCAAGAGUAGAAAGCUCCCCUGAGAAAGUCCCAGAGAGCGCACCUUAGAAGUCCUGGAGAGCACCAGCAAGCAGAAACCGGUAACCAAGACAGCACUACAACUCUGAGACCAGGACAGCCCAGCAGGAUCUUGCUAACUGAAACCUAAGGAUCUGGGGACAGAUGUGUCUAACCUAGGAGGAAUAGCUCAAUACAAGGACUCAGAAGACCCAGGAUUGGCAUCAAGUGGAUCUGACCAUUCCACCCCAAAACAUGAUAAGAGGUAGGGUCUGGACAUGGCAUAAAGCUCCAAUUCAGAAAUUAAUGAAUAAAUCAAAGAAAAUUGGCCAGAAUCAAAAGUCUUCACUCUAACUUUGAGACUCAAGAGAGAAAAAAUAGAUAUUUCACAGAGACUACAUAAAUACUUGAAUAUAAGAAGUUAAAGCAAGAGUUAAAAAAUGAAAUAAAGCCGUGUAUGAAGGAAUUGAAAGAAAAAAGAGAACUUAGAAGGGAAAGUGGUCACCUUUGCACUAAAAAUGGACUUCCUGAAAACUAGAAUAAAACAAACAGAAAGCUAUGACUCCAUGAUGCUUCAAGAAAUGUUGCAACAAAAUCAAAUAAUUAUAAAAAUAGAAAAUUAUAUCUGAUUAAAAAAUAAAACCAACUGCCUUGGAAAACAGAUAGCUAUUUUAACAACCAGUAGGCUCUCUGAACACCAUGAUUUUUUUUUUUUAAAGCCUAGAUUCUAUAUUUCAAGAAAACAUAAGUGCAUAGUUCUCUUAGAAUCAGGGGACAAAAUAAAGGAAAAAUCCCACUAAUCUUUUCUGAAAGGAACUACAAAGGGAAAAGUCCUAGGAAUAUCAUAGUCAACUAAUAUCUAGAGCUCUUAAAUCAAAGGAAAAAUUACUUCAAGCAACCAGGGAAAAUUAUGUCAAUUAACAAAGAACCACAGUCAGAAUCACACAAGACCUGGUACAUUUUAUAAUAAAUGAAAGAAAAAUCUUAGAAUAUUGCCUUCCAAAAUGCAAAACGUAUAGCUUUAUAGUAAAAAAUAACAAACCUAGCAAAGCUGAGCAUAAUCACACAGAGAAAAAAUAUGUGCCUUUAAUGCAAUGAGCACUUUUAUGAAUUUCUAAUUAAAAGAUUAGAACUACAUAAGAAUUUUGAAUUACAGAAAUGAGUCCAGAGAAAUCUAGAAAGGUAAAUUUAUUUGAGCAAUUGAAAAAAGCUGUAUGAUGAUGAUGUAAAAUUGUACUAACAUUCUAGGAAGAGAAGAAACAAAUAUCUCUUCACAACCCUUAAUGGGAUUGAAGAGUACUGAGAAAAUUUAAAUAAGAAAAACAGGGGCUUCAAGAAUGAGUUGCUUCUGUUCUGAGGAUUUUAAAAGGGAAAAGAAAAAGGGGAAGUAAAAGGAAUAUACUAGUGUUAGAAAAGAUAAAAAGGUUGCAAUUUGCUAUUUGUUAUAAUUUAAAUAUAUGUGAAAAAAAGAAUUAAAACAUGGAGAAAAGAGUAGAAAGAAUGGGCAUCAGAUUAACCUUGCUUUUAUUGGAAAUGGACAAAUUAAAGUUGAACAUACAGAUGUUUUAGUGUUAGAAUACAUCAGAUUUAACAAGAAAACCAAGAUAACAAACUUCCAGAUCUUGAAAAGGACAUUGAAAGGAGGGUAAAAAGAAAAGCAAAAAAUUAAAUCUAAUUAGAUACUUUAAAUCAUAUAUACUCGUGUACCACAACACUCUUGUGCUGCCUGAACCAGAUGAAAUGUAAUUGAAAAAAUAUUUAACAAAAUAAAUAAAAGUAUUAAAAAUAUAAUUAAUAUGUGGUUUUCUAAGCCAAUAUGUGGCCCAUAGGAAUCCUUAUAUACAGAUUAUUAACUCUUGUUUUUAUUUGAGUUUGACACCGCUGCCUUAGAUGGUCUCUUAUAAGACAAUUUGGGAAUAGCUGAACAAAUCAUGCUAUAUAAAUAUAAAUGAAUGAAUAUUAUUGAGCCAUACAAAAUUAUGAAAGAGAAGUUUUUAGAGAUGUCCAGGCAACAUAAGCUUACAGCAUCAGGAGAACAAUUAAUACAGGAGCAGUAACAUUUUUCAAAACAAAAUCUGAAACACUUAAUAACUCUUAUCAAAACAUUAGCUAAUAAUCAUGUUUCUAGAGGAUCAAUGAUGAUAUAUCAUGUUCCCCACAUUCUGAUAGGUGAUAGACACAAGGUGCAGACAUACAUUUUUGAACAUUGUUACUACACAGAAACGAAUUCAGAAAAAAAAAAUAUAUCAAAGACAGUUUUGAAAGUAGUAUAUAGAAUUUAUUGCUUUUGUUCAGUUAUGUUGUACUCUUUAUGAACUCACUUGAGAUUUUCUUGGCAAAAAUACUAGAGUGGUUUGCCAUUUCCUUUGCCAGGUUAUUUUAUAGAUGAGGAACUGAAGCAAAUGGGGUUAAGGGAUUUGUCCAAGAUCACACAAACUAGUACACAUCUGAGGCUGGAUUUAAACUUAUGUAGAUGUGUCUUCUUGAUUCCAGGGCAGGCACUCUAUCCACUGUACCACCUAGCUGCCAUUGAAUUUAUUAUCUAUUUUUAUAAAGAGCAUGUCAUAUGAGAGGAGAUCCGUAGUUCUACCUAGUAUCUUUUUGUGUACUGCUGUGGGUAUGGAAAUGUCCUUUUGGGGGUAUCUAAUUUCAGAGGUUUAUUUUUUUUUAAAUUAAGAUAAACAAAAGCUAUCUGGAUUAAAGAAAGUAUUUUGCAUUAGUAGAGUCUACUGUUUGUAAAGAUUUAUUUUGCUUCCCCUUGACAUUCCAUUGGGAAAUGAGAGAAACAAAAAGAUAUACCCUCAAAUGCCCCAUCUCCUGGAAAUUCUUUUGGAGGGAGAUACAAGAUAAUUGUUGGUAAGAGAUGAGGAUCAAACUACUACAUUUAUAGGCAUUGCCUUCCAUAUGCAGAAAGACUCGGACAAACAAGAAUAACCUAGCUCUACAUAAAGGCAGGCACUGAUUUGCCUUGUUUCACAUAUAUUUUAAAGCUUCUGGAUUCCCUCCCAAAGGGAGAAUGUUGUCACAACUUAGGCCAACUAAAAGUAUACACCUGAAUCUAAGUAUAGUUAACUAUCCUAGGGAAAAAAAAUUUUUUUAAAUUUCAAAAGGAUGACUUAUUAUUUUUUUUUCUCCAUCAAGGCCAGAGGUCCUGUAGCAAGAAGGGACCUCAGUUUUUUUUAGUUCAUUCUUUGAAUUCCAUAUAGGAGCAUACCAAAGCAUUUUAGUGAGGUAUUACUUUAUUCCCUUGGUAAAGAUACUUAGAUCUGGAAAUCUCUUUUCAGUCAGUUGUUGGUGACUAAAUUUUGAGCUGAAGAAACAAUUAGUCAUAAGUAGAAAUGGUUUUAGGGAUAACUUAAUCCAGUUCCUUUGAGGAGGAAUCUGAGGUUCAGAAGUGACUUUCAGUAUACGUUUAUUCCCUUCAAUGUCCCAAAGGUUUGUACUAUCCUGUCUGGAAUGUCUGCUCCAUAAGUAUCAAAUUUGAUUUAAUCUAUAAUAAUCUUCUUUACUCCUACUUCCCUCUUUAAGGAAUAAAACUGGGUUCUCUCUUGGUGACACAGCUCCCUCCCAAGCCCCACCUCCUUUCUAUCCAGAACUUUCACUGUUGCUCCUCCUCGAUGCCUGAGAUGGAGUAUGUAAUGAAAUCCUUCUACCUUCAGUAGCUUCUCCUCUUUUGAAGUUCACUCAAUCCAUAGCUAUCCCCAAACACAAUUCUGGUACAUGUGGUUUCCUGAUCUGCAGAUCAGUUCUCAGUGAGUUCAGGUCCUGGCUAACCGCCUAUUUCUCCUCCUCAAGGCUUGCCUUCAUACCAGGUGAUUCAACAUAUAUACAGAGCUUCCCUCAAACACCCUAAUCUGCUAGUUUCUCAGUUUAUUCAUUUUCCAUAAUCUCCUCCUCCACUCCAUCUCAGUUAAACACAGAGGUAGUACCAAACUACCUCUUGAUCUUGCUGUCACCCAUAAAUAUAUUAUUUUCAUGUACAUGAAAAUUCUAUGAAAUUCCCUUUUCUGAUCAAACAAUUGUCAUCCCAUCUUUUUUGCUUUACCCCAGAUUCCAUUCUCACUAAGAGAAUGUGCUCAUUAAGACCUCCAAUCCUGAAUCUUUUCAGUUCUUUCCCUGGUCAUCACCUCUGGACUAUCUAAACUUUCCUUUUUUUCUCAUCUUUAUGUUUUGGUGAACCAGUUCAGUUUUACUCUCUUCUUUUCUCAAAAUCCUUGCCCUUUUAUCCUCUCAGUGACCUUGCUCAACCAAGAUUUAGCAUUGGAUUACUUUCUUCUUCUUCCUUCACUGCUAUUUACAUAAUCUUGAACUAAGUUGGAGGAAAAAAACAAAACAAAACAUGUGCUGACAAUUACAAAUUUGUGUAAUAGUCUCAGUUGGGCCCUUACUGCAGCAAAACAAUUUUUCGUACUUCCCUACUUGCCUCACUAUGUCAUUUACCAUCUUUUCCUUUUCCAAGCCUUUUCAUGCUUUCUCAAAUCUCAAAUGAUUUUUCUCCUACUAUCUACUCUGUUGAGAACUUUGUCUCAUUUCUUUGAAAAAAAUUGAGACCUUUCUAUGAGAGCUCCCUCUUAUUCCCAUCUAGGUCUGUGAGCUGUGCCUAAUUGCUUGGUAUAAAAAGAGGCUCUUCAGAAUAUUUGCAGUGCUUCUUCCAGACCAGAAAAACCAUCCAUGUCCUUCCAAGAAACAUCUUUCUCCUUCUCUUCCAUGCAGGUUGAUUGACCUACCUGAAACCCAUCACUGGGCCAGUAGGAGAACUGACAACAGAGGCCCUGAUUUCCAUGCCUGUGCUUGGCCUGUUGAGUUAAAACAAGCUUCCCAG